Molecule: ribosomal RNA, 369 nt
Filed under: Triticum aestivum (bread wheat)
Lineage: Eukaryota; Viridiplantae; Streptophyta; Magnoliopsida; Poales; Poaceae
Description: partial small subunit ribosomal RNA
Source: RNAcentral
AUGCUGGAUAAAUACUCCUUGAAGAAACAUCCAUUCUUAACGCAGAUAUAUGAGAUCAGGCAUAAAUGGGCAAAGCCAUAUUUCAGAGGGGUGUUCUGUGCCAGGAUGACAAGCACUCAACGGAGCGAGAGCGCCAACCAUCUGUUGAAAGGUUACAUGCCGCGAGGGUGCCCAAUGCAUCUGUUUCUUAAGCAGUUCCAGAAACUGCAAUUUAACAGAGAGGCGGAGGAGAGUUUCCAGGAGAAGAGGACAUCCCUGGUGAGUGUGUUGGGUUUUUUUUCAACAUCAUUAUGGUUCUUCCGUUGCUACCUGGACAUGAUAAUCACCUUUUUGCUUGUGGUUCAGAUCGCAGAGCGGUGUGUGCCUUAG